This 34-nucleotide ribosomal RNA is filed under the name Crataegus monogyna. RNAcentral describes it as "partial 26S ribosomal RNA". Lineage: Eukaryota; Viridiplantae; Streptophyta; Magnoliopsida; Rosales; Rosaceae. The record is from RNAcentral.
GUCCAGGUUAGGCAGGGUUACCCGCUAAAUUUAA